Molecule: ribosomal RNA, 397 nt
Filed under: uncultured bacterium
Lineage: Bacteria
Description: partial 16S ribosomal RNA
Rfam family: Bacterial small subunit ribosomal RNA
Source: RNAcentral
AUACGUAGGGGGCGAGCGUUGUCCGGAAUGACUGGGCGUAAAGGGCGUGUAGGCGGCUGUCUAAGUCUGGAGUGAAAGUCCUGCUUUCAAGGUGGGAAUUGCUUUGGAGACUGGAUGGCUUGAGUGCGGAAGAGGUAAGUGGAAUUCCCAGUGUAGCGGUGAAAUGCGUAGAGAUUGGGAGGAACACCAGUGGCGAAGGCGACUUACUGGGCCGUAACUGACGCUGAGGCGCGAAAGCGUGGGGAGCGAACAGGAUUAGAUACCCUGGUAGUCCACGCGGUAAACGAUGAAUACCAGGUGUUGCGGGUAUCGACCCCUGCAGUGCCGGAGUAAACGCAAUAAGCAUUCCGCCUGGGGAGUACGGCCGCAAGGUUGAAACUCAAAUGAAUUGACGGGG